GGCCAAUACAAAGCUACCAUGCAGUCGAGCGGUAACAGGGGUAGCUUGCUACCCGCUGACGAGCGGCGGACGGGUGAGUAAUGCAUGGGAAUCUGCCCGAUAGUGGGGGAUAACUCGGGGAAACCCGAGCUAAUACCGCAUACGUCCUACGGGAGAAAGCAGGGGAUCUUCGGACCUUGCGCUAUCGGAUGAGCCCAUGCCGGAUUAGCUUGUUGGUGAGGUAACGGCUCACCAAGGCUGCGAUCCGUAGCUGGUCUGAGAGGAUGAUCAGCCACACCGGGACUGAGACACGGCCCGGACUCCUACGGGAGGCAGCAGUGGGGAAUAUUGGACAAUGGGGGAAACCCUGAUCCAGCCAUGCCGCGUGUGUGAAGAAGGCCUUCGGGUUGUAAAGCACUUUCAGUGAGGAAGAAUGCCUUGUGGCCAAUACCCACGAGGAAGGACAUCACUCACAGAAGAAGCACCGGCUAACUCCGUGCCAGCAGCCGCGGUAAUACGGAGGGUGCAAGCGUUAAUCGGAAUUACUGGGCGUAAAGGGCGCGUAGGCGGCUCGUCAAGCCGGAUGUGAAAGCCCCGGGCUCAACCCGGGAACGGCAUUCGGAACUGGCUGGCUAGAGUGCAGGAGAGGAAGGUAGAAUUCCCGGUGUAGCGGUGAAAUGCGUAGAGAUCGGGAGGAAUACCAGUGGCGAAGGCGGCCUUCUGGACUGACACUGACGCUGAGGCGCGAAAGCGUGGGUAGCAAACAGGAUUAGAUACCCUGGUAGUCCACGCUGUAAACGAUGUCGACCAGCCGUUGGAUCCCUUGAGGAUUUAGUGGCGUAGUUAACGCAAUAAGUCGACCGCCUGGGGAGUACGGCCGCAAGGCUAAAACUCAAAUGAAUUGACGGGGGCCCGCACAAGCGGUGGAGCAUGUGGUUUAAUUCGAUGCAACGCGAAGAACCUUACCUGCUCUUGACAUCCUGCGAAUCUCCCAGAGAUGGGAGAGUGCCUUCGGGAGCGCAGAGACAGGUGCUGCAUGGCUGUCGUCAGCUCGUGUUGUGAAAUGUUGGGUUUAAGUCCCGUAACGAGCGCAAACCCUAUCCCUUUUUGCCAGCGGGUUCCGGGUCGGGAAACUUCAAGGAGAACUGCCCGGUGACAAACUGAAGAAAGGUGGGGGAACGACGUCAGGUUCAUUCAUUGUCUCCUUACCGAGUCAAGGACUAACACACACACGGUUGCCUUACACAAAAAUG
RNAcentral lists this ribosomal RNA (1232 nucleotides) under Kushneria sp. Its description in RNAcentral is "bacterial SSU rRNA". It matches the Rfam family "Bacterial small subunit ribosomal RNA", at positions 45 to 1249 of the family's 1533-position model. Lineage: Bacteria; Pseudomonadati; Pseudomonadota; Gammaproteobacteria; Oceanospirillales; Halomonadaceae. The record is from RNAcentral.